CAAUAGCGUAUAUUAAAGUUGUUGCAGUUAAAAAGCUCGUAGUUGGAUUUCUGAUCGAGACAUCAGGUCGGGUCCGAGAGGAUCAUGUACUUUGAUUUUGUUUUGAUCAUCCUUGGGGAGAGCAUUUCUGGCAUUCAGUUGUCGGGAUUGGGAUCCUCAUCGUUUACUGUGAAAAAAUUAGAGUGUUCAAAGCAGGCCUCGGCCUCUGAAUACAUUAGCAUGGAAUAAUAAGAUAGGACCUUGGUGGUCUAUUUUGUUGGUUUGCACGCCAAAGUAAUGAUUAAUAGGGAUAGUUGGGGGUAUUCGUAUUCAAUUGUCAGAGGUGAAAUUCUUGGAUUUAUGGAAGACGAACUACUGCGAAAGCAUUUACCAAGGAUGUUUUCAUUAA
Molecule: ribosomal RNA, 388 nt
Filed under: uncultured eukaryote
Lineage: Eukaryota
Description: partial 18S ribosomal RNA
Rfam family: Eukaryotic small subunit ribosomal RNA
Source: RNAcentral